RNAcentral lists this ribosomal RNA (253 nucleotides) under uncultured bacterium. RNAcentral describes it as "partial 16S ribosomal RNA". It matches the Rfam family "Bacterial small subunit ribosomal RNA", at positions 524 to 776 of the family's 1533-position model. The record is from RNAcentral.
UACGUAGGUGGCAAGCGUUAUCCGGAAUUAUUGGGCGUAAAGAGCGCGCAGGUGGUUAAUUAAGUCUGAUGUGAAAGCCCACGGCUUAACCGUGGAGGGUCAUUGGAAACUGGUUGGCUUGAGUGCAGAAGAGGGAAGUGGAAUUCCAUGUGUAGCGGUGAAAUGCGUAGAGAUAUGGAGGAACACCAGUGGCGAAGGCGGCUUCCUGGUCUGCAACUGACACUGAGGCGCGAAAGCGUGGGGAGCAAACAGG